UCGAACGGAAAGGCCUGCAGCUUGCUGCGGGUACUCGAGUGGCGAACGGGUGAGUAACACGUGGGUGAUCUGCCUUGCACUUCGGGAUAAGCUUGGGAAACUGGGUCUAAUACCGGAUAGGACAGCUGUUUAGUGUCAGUUGUGGAAAGUUUUUUCGGUGCAAGAUGAGCUCGCGGCCUAUCAGCUUGUUGGUGGGGUAAUGGCCUACCAAGGCGUCGACGGGUAGCCGGCCUGAGAGGGUGUACGGCCACAUUGGGACUGAGAUACGGCCCAGACUCCUACGGGAGGCAGCAGUGGGGAAUAUUGCACAAUGGGCGGAAGCCUGAUGCAGCGACGCCGCGUGGGGGAUGAAGGCCUUCGGGUUGUAAACUCCUUUCGACAGGGACGAAGCGUAAGUGACGGUACCUGUAUAAGAAGCACCGGCUAACUACGUGCCAGCAGCCGCGGUAAUACGUAGGGUGCGAGCGUUGUCCGGAAUUACUGGGCGUAAAGAGCUCGUAGGUGGUUUGUCGCGUCGUCUGUGAAAUUCCGGGGCUUAACUCCGGGCGUGCAGGCGAUACGGGCUGACUUGAGUGCUGUAGGGGAGACUGGAAUUCCUGGUGUAGCGGUGAAAUGCGCAGAUAUCAGGAGGAACACCGAUGGCGAAGGCAGGUCUCUGGGCAGUAACUGACGCUGAGGAGCGAAAGCAUGGGUAGCGAACAGGAUUAGAUACCCUGGUAGUCCAUGCCGUAAACGGUGGGCGCUAGGUGUAGGGGGCUUCCACGUCUUCUGUGCCGUAGCUAACGCAUUAAGCGCCCCGCCUGGGGAGUACGCCGCAAGGCUA
This 823-nucleotide ribosomal RNA is filed under the name uncultured Actinomycetes bacterium. RNAcentral's name for it is "bacterial SSU rRNA". It matches the Rfam family "Bacterial small subunit ribosomal RNA", at positions 62 to 896 of the family's 1533-position model. Lineage: Bacteria; Bacillati; Actinomycetota; Actinomycetes. The record is from RNAcentral.